UACGUAGGGUCCGAGCGUUGUCCGGAAUUAUUGGGCGUAAAGAGCUCGUAGGCGGUUUGUCGCGUCGAAUGUGAAAUCCCGGGGCUCAACCCCGGGUCUGCAUUCGAUACGGGCAGACUAGAGUUCGGUAGGGGAGUCUGGAAUUCCUGGUGUAGCGGUGGAAAUGCGCAGAUAUCAGGAGGAACACCGGUGGCGAAGGCGGGACUCUGGGCCGAUACUGACGCUGAGGAGCGAAAGCGUGGGGAGCAAACAGG
RNAcentral lists this ribosomal RNA (254 nucleotides) under uncultured bacterium. RNAcentral's name for it is "partial 16S ribosomal RNA". It matches the Rfam family "Bacterial small subunit ribosomal RNA", at positions 524 to 776 of the family's 1533-position model. The record is from RNAcentral.